GUAGUCUGUGAUGAUGAAGUUCUCAAUUGGCCCGAGUUCUUUUUGGAAUAUGAGGGCAACUUAAGUCACUACCUCUUCUGAGACAC
Molecule: small nucleolar RNA, 86 nt
Filed under: Colius striatus (speckled mousebird)
Lineage: Eukaryota; Metazoa; Chordata; Aves; Coliiformes; Coliidae
Description: Small nucleolar RNA SNORD11
Rfam family: Small nucleolar RNA SNORD11
Source: Rfam by way of RNAcentral